RNAcentral lists this ribosomal RNA (480 nucleotides) under Triticum aestivum (bread wheat). RNAcentral's name for it is "partial small subunit ribosomal RNA". Lineage: Eukaryota; Viridiplantae; Streptophyta; Magnoliopsida; Poales; Poaceae. The record is from RNAcentral.
CGCCCCAAAUCACCACCGGCCGGCCAUGCAAAAAUUCAUGUCGAUGCUGUCUCCCGUAAGGGGCCAGGAGGUGCAGCGGCAGCUGUCUGCCGUGAUGAAACGGGAGCAUAUCUUGGAAGUUCAGCUCUUGUGGUCGCAGGUGUCGGCGAUCCUGAAAUUCUGGAGACAAUAGCCUGCAGGGAGGCGCUAGCGUUGGCACAGGAUCUUAAUAUCCAGAGUAUGAUUGUUGCAUCAGAUUCCAAGGGAGCAGUUGGAGCUAUCAACAACGGAAGCCUUGAAGCGAACGGUGCUAUCAUCGCUGAGGUUCAUAGCUUAGCUUUAAAUUUGGUUUGUAAUUUUACUUUUGAAGGUCGUGCCGUUAAUGUUGAGGCACAUAGAUUAGCCAAGCAUGCAUUUUUUUUGGGUCCGGGGCGUCACAUUUGGCUAGGCCAACCCCAUGACCAAAGAUGUAUUCCACUAUCUGUGGCUUUUGAUGAAUAA